AUUGAACGCUGGCGGCAGGCCUAACACAUGCAAGUCGAACGGUAACAGGAAGAAGCUUGCUUCUUUGCUGACGAGUGGCGGACGGGUGAGUAAUGUCUGGGAAACUGCCUGAUGGAGGGGGAUAACUACUGGAAACGGUAGCUAAUACCGCAUAACGUCGCAAGACCAAAGAGGGGGACCUUCGGGCCUCUUGCCAUCGGAUGUGCCCAGAUGGGAUUAGCUAGUAGGUGGGGUAACGGCUCACCUAGGCGACGAUCCCUAGCUGGUCUGAGAGGAUGACCAGCCACACUGGAACUGAGGCACGGUCCAGACUCCUACGGGAGGCAGCAGUGGGGAAUAUUGCACAAUGGGCGCAAGCCUGAUGCAGCCAUGCCGCGUGUAUGAAGAAGGCCUUCGGGUUGUAAAGUACUUUCAGCGGGGAGGAAGGGAGUAAAGUUAAUACCCUUGCUCAUUGACGUUACCCGCAGAAGAAGCACCGGCUAACUCCGUG
Molecule: ribosomal RNA, 490 nt
Filed under: uncultured bacterium
Lineage: Bacteria
Description: partial 16S ribosomal RNA
Rfam family: Bacterial small subunit ribosomal RNA
Source: RNAcentral